Long non-coding RNA from Cucurbita moschata (crookneck pumpkin), 1739 nucleotides. RefSeq lists it as uncharacterized. The record is from RefSeq and is a predicted model, not a curated record. The transcript has 6 exons. NCBI's taxonomy places the organism in Eukaryota, Viridiplantae, Streptophyta, Magnoliopsida, Cucurbitales, Cucurbitaceae.
GCGCAAAACCCUGAAAUAAAAGGGCUAAAGAUUUUGUAGCAAGUGAAGGCGCGAACAAGAAAUUGAGAGUUGAGAUGGUGAAGGCUAUGGCUGGCGACUUUGGACGAAGGCGCGGUCUGUUCAGCUUGGAACUAUGCCGCCAACAGAUUAGCCACCGAUUCGGUGGCCGGAACCCUCGUCAUCUUCGAUUCUCCUGGCCCUUCUUCCUCAUCGGCGUCCUUAACUCGCACCUCAAUCUUCAAGGAUAGGGGAUUUGGUAGCUGAACUGUUGGCUGAGAAAAUCUCGUGAACAUCAGGUUCUGGAUGUUGUACAUUAUGAGCCCCUCCUACAUCGCUCCUAUGGCAUGGCGAUGGAAUGAAGUAGUUCGAGUCAGCUGUGGCUGGGGAUAUAAAUGGCUGAGUAUAGCUUCCCAAGGUGCUGUGAGUAUCGAUGGCUAAAUGUGAAAAGCCACCAUUUACAAUGUCCUUACAUCCUGCAGAAGUUGAGCCGAAGCAGAAGCUGAUGAUGGUCGUGGUCAUUUUCCUUCUUUUCUUGUAUUUUUGGUGAAUGACAUGAUUGGGCUAAAUAGUUUCCUUGGGAACAAGUGUGCUUUCCUCGAUAGGUAAUGUCAAACACAGAAUGAUCUUCAUCUGAUCUCUGCACUUGCUUUAUUGCCCAACAAUUCUGUGUAUUGCGGAAAGUGCAUCUAUAGUAGCUUCUGCAAGUACACAACAAACAGGUAUUAGAUUUAUUGAUGAAGGAGAAGUCAUCUCACCUGGGAAAUGUUGCACCAAGUAUGUCCUUUUGGCCAUAUUUUCUCCAGCUAUAACCAUCCUCAUGGGGUCCUUCGAAUCCCGUCUCGGAGUUCACUUUCACUUGUUCUGUCCAUCUGGGCUGUGUCUUUCUGUAAUCACAGAAUCAUAAAGAUUUUUUUAUUUGUUUCCAAGAAUUGAACUUGUUUACUAACUAAGCUCAUAUUUGUUCUAAGGUUGACUUUGAAAAGCUGGAAAGAAAAUUCUUAAAUUCACCUCUUCAUUGAUUCUUUUCUGGGGUCCUGAGGGUCCUUGAGGCCUUUACCAGAGUCAUCACUAGAAAGACUUCCAUUAACAGAAAUUGGAGAGCCUGGCAAAGCAAAAGCUGCUUCUACCAUUUGAGAUGCUGAACUCAACUCUGCUUUCAACUGCUUGGUAAGUCAAGAAGCAGAAGCUAGAGGAAAUGGAAGACCCAAAUGGUAAAGAAUCAGAGACAACAAACAUGGAAGUAGCCAGAUGAGGUAAUUUGGUUAACUGGGUAUAUUUGUGUUUAUUUAAAACUGAACUGAGAGAGAAGAAGAAGAAGAAUGCUUUGGUUUUAAUAAGAACCGAUCUUGGUUUUAUACAAGUUCAAAAAGGAAGACAACUUUAUUUCAUUUUUCUUAAAAGAAAAUGCUGUUGAACAGUUAGAAGUUGGGGAAACUUUGACUGAGACAGCCCCCUCAGUUGCUUUCUGGUCUUUGGUCAUUGGCUGAGUGGAGUAAGAUUAGUGUGGAAGUCCAGGUUCUAAAGCUGACCAAGUCCACUUCCACUUCAUAAUUUAACUUCCAAAAGGGUUUCUGUUUCUCUCUCUAGAUCCUACGGCUGUGAUUUGUUGAGAAUGAAAAUUUCAUAAUUGAGAUAGUGAGACAAGUGGAAAGUCAGAGUUCAAGCUUGGAGAGUAGACUAAGAAUUUUCAAACCUUUCGUCCGCGUUGUGGUAUAGUAAACAACUACUUUUCAUCUUUA